AGAGAAUAGAUACCCGGGUAGUCCACGCGGUAAACGAUGAGCACUAGGUGUAGGUGGUGUGAAAAAAACUAUCUGUGCCGCAGCCAACGCGCUAAGUGCUCCGCCUGGGGAGUACGGCCGCAAGGCUAAAACUCGAAGGAAUUGACGGGGGCCCGCACAAGCAGCGGAGCGUGUGGUUUAAUUCGAUGCGACGCGAAGAACCUUACCUGGGUUUGACAUGCACGUAGUAGUGAAGCGAAAGUGGAACGACCCUUCGGGGAGCGUGCACAGGUGCUGCAUGGCUGUCGUCAGCUCGUGUCGUGAGAUGUUGGGUUAAGUCCCGCAACGAGCGCAACCCUUGUCGCUAGUUACAAGUGUCUAGCGAGACUGCCGAUAUCAAGUUGGAGGAAGGUGGGGAUGACGUCAAGUCAGCAUGGCCUUUAUAUCCAGGGCGACACACACGCUACAAUGGGCGGUACAAUGGGCAGCGAAGGGCGACCUGGAGCGAAUCUCAUCAAAGCCGUUCGUAGUUCGGAUUGCA
RNAcentral lists this ribosomal RNA (520 nucleotides) under uncultured bacterium. Its description in RNAcentral is "bacterial SSU rRNA". It matches the Rfam family "Bacterial small subunit ribosomal RNA", at positions 774 to 1302 of the family's 1533-position model. The record is from RNAcentral.